This 87-nucleotide transfer RNA is filed under the name Leucothrix pacifica. RNAcentral describes it as "tRNA-Leu". It matches the Rfam family "tRNA". From Rfam's summary of the family: Transfer RNA (tRNA) molecules are approximately 80 nucleotides in length. Their secondary structure includes four short double-helical elements and three loops (D, anti-codon, and T loops). Further hydrogen bonds mediate the characteristic L-shaped molecular structure. tRNAs have two regions of fundamental functional importance: the anti-codon, which is responsible for specific mRNA codon recognition, and the 3' end, to which the tRNAs corresponding amino acid is attached (by aminoacyl-tRNA synthetases). tRNAs cope with the degeneracy of the genetic code in two manners: having more than one tRNA (with a specific anti-codon) for a particular amino acid; and 'wobble' base-pairing, i.e. permitting non-standard base-pairing at the 3rd anti-codon position. Lineage: Bacteria; Pseudomonadati; Pseudomonadota; Gammaproteobacteria; Thiotrichales; Thiotrichaceae. The record is from RNAcentral.
GCCGAAGUGGCGGAAUUGGUAGACGCGCCAGCUUCAGGUGCUGGUGGGCUUUGGCCCGUGGAGGUUCAAGUCCUCUCUUCGGCACCA